RNAcentral lists this unclassified non-coding RNA (352 nucleotides) under soil metagenome. Its description in RNAcentral is "partial contains 5.8S ribosomal RNA, internal transcribed spacer 2, and large subunit ribosomal RNA". The stretch from base 1 to 120 matches the Rfam family "5.8S ribosomal RNA", at positions 35 to 154 of the family's 154-position model. The record is from RNAcentral.
GAUGAAGAACGCAGCGAAAUGCGAUAAGUAAUGUGAAUUGCAGAAUUCAGUGAAUCAUCGAAUCUUUGAACGCACAUUGCGCCCGCCAGUAUUCUGGCGGGCAUGCCUGUUCGAGCGUCAUUACAACCCUCAGGCCCCCGGGCCUGGCGUUGGGGAUCGGCGGAGCCCCCCGUGGGCACACGCCGUCCCCCAAAUGCAGUGGCGGUCCCGCCGCAGCUUCCAUCGCGUAGUAGCUAACACCUCGCGACUGGAGAGCGGCGCGGCCACGCCGUAAAACACCCAACUCUUCUGAAGUUGACCUCGAAUCAGGUAGGAAUACCCGCUGAACUUAAGCAUAUCAAUAAGCGAAGGA